Potamilus streckersoni is the source of this 67-nucleotide non-coding RNA. NCBI's taxonomy places the organism in Eukaryota, Metazoa, Mollusca, Bivalvia, Unionida, Unionidae. The record is from the annotation of a GenBank genome assembly.
GUGGCUUAGUGGUUAGAGCUUCCGCCUCGGAUGCAGGAUAUCGUUGGUUCGAUCCCCGGCGUAGACA